GAUAAACGCUGGCGGCGCACAUAAGACAUGCAAGUCGAACGAACUUAAUACCUUGCUUGCAAGGUAAGCGGUUAGUGGCGGACUGGUGAGUAACACGUAAGAAAUCUGCCUAUCAGAGGGGAAUAACAGUGAGAAAUCAUUGCUAAUACCGCAUAUGCCAUAGUUAUCGCAUGAUAAUAGUGGGAAAGGAGCAAUCCGCUGAUAGAUGAGCUUGCGUCUGAUUAGCUAGUUGGUGGGGUAACGGCCUACCAAGGCGACGAUCAGUAGCCGGACUGAGAGGUUGAACGGCCACAUUGGGACUGAGAUACGGCCCAGACUCCUACGGGAGGCAGCAGUCGGGAAUAUUGCGCAAUGGAGGAAACUCUGACGCAGUGACGCCGCGUAUAGGAAGAAGGUUUUCGGAUUGUAAACUAUUGUCCACAGGGAAGAUAAAAGACUGUACCUGUGAAGAAAGCUCCGGCUAACUACGUGCCAGCAGCCGCGGUAAUACGUAGGGAGCAAGCGUUAUCCGGAAUUAUUGGGUGUAAAGGGUGCGUAGACGGGAUAACAAGUUGGUUGUGAAACCCCUCGGCUCAACUGAGGAACUGCAACCAAAACUAUUAUUCUUGAGUGCAGGAGAGGAAAGUGGAAUUCCUAGUGUAGCGGUGAAAUGCGUAGAUAUUAGGAAGAACACCGGUGGCGAAGGCGACUUUCUGGACUGUAACUGACGUUGAGGCACGAAAGUGUGGGGAGCAAACAGGAUUAGAUACCCUGGUAGUCCACACUGUAAACGAUGGAUACUAGGUGUAGGGUGUAUUAAGCACUCUGUGCCGCCGCUAACGCAUUAAGUAUCCCACCUGGGGAGUACGACCGCAAGGUUGAAACUCAAAGGGAAUUGACGGGGGCCCGCACAAGCAGUGGAGUAUGUGGUUUAAUUCGAAGCAACGCGAAGAACCUUACCAGGGCUUGACAUAUACCGGAAUAUACUAGAGAUAGUAUAGUCCUUCGGGACUGGUAUACAGGUGGUGCAUGGUUGUCGUCAGCUCGUGUCGUGAGAUGUUGGGUUAAGUCCCGCAACGAGCGCAACCCCUAUCGUUAGUUGCUAGCAGGUAAUGCUGAGAACUCUAGCGAGACUGCCGGUGAUAAAUCGGAGGAAGGUGGGGACGACGUCAAAUCAUCAUGCCCUUUAUGUCCUGGGCUACACACGUACUACAAUGGCCGUAACAGAGGGAAGCAAUAUAGUGAUAUGGAGCAAAACCCUAAAAGCGGUCUCAGUUCGGAUUGAAGGCUGAAAUUCGCCUUCAUGAAGCUGGAAUUGCUAGUAAUGGCAGGUCAGCAUACUGCCGUGAAUACGUUCCCGGGCCUUGUACACACCGCCCGUCACACCAUGAGAGUUGGAAAUACCCGAAGCCUGUGAGCUAACUGUAAAGAGGCAGCAGUCGAAGGUAGAGCCAAUGAUUGGGGUG
RNAcentral lists this ribosomal RNA (1445 nucleotides) under uncultured bacterium. RNAcentral describes it as "bacterial SSU rRNA". It matches the Rfam family "Bacterial small subunit ribosomal RNA". The record is from RNAcentral.